RNAcentral lists this ribosomal RNA (377 nucleotides) under uncultured eukaryote. RNAcentral's name for it is "partial 18S ribosomal RNA". It matches the Rfam family "Eukaryotic small subunit ribosomal RNA", at positions 592 to 976 of the family's 1831-position model. The record is from RNAcentral.
CAAUAGCGUAUAUUUAAGUUGCUGCAGUUAAAAAGUUCGUAGUUGGAUUUCGGGUGGGAAUGGCCGGUCCGCCGUUUCGGUGUGCACUUGCUACGCCCACCUUGCUGCCGGGGACGUGCUCUUGAGUUCACGCUCGGGACACGGAGUCGGCGAGGUUACUUUGAGUAAAUUAGAGUGUUCAAAGCAGGCCUACGCUCUGAAUACAUUAGCAUGGAAUAACACGAUAGGACUCUGGCCUAUCUUGUUGGUCUGUAGGACCGGAGUAAUGAUUAAGAGGGACAGUCGGGGGCAUUCGUAUUUCAUUGUCAGAGGUGAAAUUCUUGGAUUUAUGAAAGACGAACUACUGCGAAAGCAUUUGCCAAGGAUGUUUUCAUUAA